GUGGGGAAUAUUGCACAAUGGGGGAAACCCUGAUGCAGCGACGCCGCGUGAGUGAAGAAGUAUUUCGGUACGUAAAGCUCUAUCAGCAAGGAAGAAAAUGACGGUACUUGACUAAGAAGCCCCGGCUAACUACGUGCCAGCAGCCGCGGUAAUACGUAGGGGGCAAGCGUUAUCCGGAUUUACUGGGUGUACAGGGAGCGUAGACGGUAUGGUAAGUCAGAUGUGAAAGCCCGGGGCUCAACCCCGGGACUGCAUUUGAAACUAUCAGACUAGAGUGCAGGAGAGGUAAGUGGAAGUCCUAGUGUAGCGGUGAAAUGCGUAGAUAUUAGGAGGAACACCAGUGGCGAAGGCGGCUUACUGGACUGUAACUGACGUUGAGGCUCGAAAGCGUGGGGAGCAAACAGGAUUAGAAACCCCGGUAGUCC
RNAcentral lists this ribosomal RNA (425 nucleotides) under uncultured bacterium. Its description in RNAcentral is "partial 16S ribosomal RNA". It matches the Rfam family "Bacterial small subunit ribosomal RNA", at positions 354 to 796 of the family's 1533-position model. The record is from RNAcentral.